UGGCAGAAAACCUGUAUGAACGAUGCUCUGUGACUCGGGCAAGACAGCUUUGAACUCAAGGAUUGUCCCCUGGAAGCAUGACAAAUGAUUUUCCCCACCUGUGAAGAGUUCACUCAAGAUCAAAAAAUGCUGAAGGUCGAAAUCAUCCCGGGACGCUGCUUCUGUAGAAUCCACAUCACUGGACUAUUUCUACCUCCUCACUAAAGAUGUUCAGAAAUGGAGCCAAAUACAAGCAUGAGAGGGAGUUCUAAAGAUGAGAAGCAAAAAUUACAUGGCAGGUAUGUACCUGUACUUCCCACUCAUUAACAGUUAAGGAUUAAAUGCAAGAAUGGGGAUGGCCUUUUAUUUGUCUUUUCUUCUUUUCUUGCUGCAUUAGACACAAAAAUGUACGUGUGGGGCAGGAGAGUGGAACUCACGUUUGAAACAUCUUUGUACAAAGUAAAAUGGGGAAACUCUAUUAACCCUGGCUUAUUUCUGGUGUAAAUCUAUUGUAGUUCUACAUACGUCAUUGGAAUUGUAUGGCUGGAAGGACAGAAUCAAGAUUCACUGUGAAACUUUGUCUAAAAAUAGGUUGGCUGAGGUUUUUUUUUAAAUAGAAAAGGAAGGUGAGGAGUGUUUUUGUUUGAAGAAACGGCAGAGCCUGAGUAAUUUUGCUGAUUAAGUCCAGUUCUUCUGACUUUUCAUACUUUGACCAGCGCUGGGUCAUCAUAGGGAAAAUCGUGCCCUUUCCAGGAGUCUCCCUGAGAUGGGCCAAAGGGAAAUCAUGGAUUCAGGCAGCUGGA
Molecule: long non-coding RNA, 782 nt
Filed under: Calidris pugnax (ruff)
Lineage: Eukaryota; Metazoa; Chordata; Aves; Charadriiformes; Scolopacidae
Description: lncRNA (ENSCPUG00000009080.1)
Source: RNAcentral